RNAcentral lists this ribosomal RNA (1259 nucleotides) under Amynthas pectiniferus. RNAcentral's name for it is "16S ribosomal RNA". The stretch from base 562 to 1259 matches the Rfam family "Archaeal large subunit ribosomal RNA", at positions 1423 to 2904 of the family's 2987-position model. Lineage: Eukaryota; Metazoa; Annelida; Clitellata; Crassiclitellata; Megascolecidae. The record is from RNAcentral.
GCCCACCCACACUAAUCUUCUAAAAUUACAAAUAAUAUAAACAACUAAACAACUCAGUAAAUAAAAAGUACAGAAAUGGAACAAAUAAUAAAUAAAAGUAACUAUUAACAAUUGUACCUUGUGCAUUAUGGUUUUACAAGAAAAUUAUUAAACACUAAAAUCCCGAAUUCUAUAUGAGAUGUUAAACUGCUGUUUUGAACCCACUAAUAACUGUAGAAAAAGUUUUAAAAGACAGUUUAACAGAGGCUACAUACCAUUCGCAUAAGAAUAUAGCUGGUUUUCAACAAACAUUAUACAUUAAAACAUAUAAUAAUAUUAUAGUGUAACACUAUUGAGGAUAAGCCCAAUAGUACAAGCAAUAUACAUAUAAAUAUCUAAUACCCUUCAUAGGCCUAAAAACAGCCAAAUAAAAUACUUUACCGUAAUGUAAAAAUGAUAAAAUUUAUAAAAUGAAAUGCUAAAUAAAGUUGAAAUAGCGGGUAAAUUAACCAACCCACUUAUACUAUGUAAAAAUAAGUAUUAACUACCAAUAAUAAAUAAAAUCUAGUAAUUAACAACAGAUAAACUACAAUAAUUAAUUAAGGAACUCGGCAAACUAUUAUUUCGACUGUUUAACAAAAACAUUGUCUCAUGUAUAAAAUAUGAGAUAAUACCUGCCCAGUGACACACAGUUAAACGGCCGCGGUAUCCUAACCGUGCAAAGGUAGCAUAAUCACUUGCCUAUUAAUUGUAGGCUAGAAUGAAAGGGUUAACGAAAUAAAAACUGUCUCAAUUAAUCACCUAAAAAUUAUUUUCUAUUUGAAGAAAAAUAGAUAUUCUCGAAGGACAAGAAGACCCUAUAGAGCUUAAUUUUAAUUAUAGAACUAUAACUAUAAAAAUAUUCGGUUGGGGCGACCCAGGGAUAAAUAAUCACCCACUACAUAAAAGAUAUAUUAAUCAAAUAAAUGACCCUUUUAAGAUCAUAAGACCAAGCUACCUUAGGGAUAACAGGCUAAUCCCACUCAAGAGUCCUUAUCAACAGUGGGGUUUGGCACCUCGAUGUUGGCUUAGGGUAUCUAUAUAGCGCAAAAGUUAUAUAAAGAUGGUUUGUUCAACCAAUAAUUCCCUACAUGAGCUGAGUUCAGACCGGCGUAAGCCAGGUUAGCUUCUAUCCACGACCAUUAACAAUCUACUCCCAGUACGAAAGGACCUGAGUAAAAUAAUUAUUAUAAAAAAGAACACAUGUAACUAAAUAUAAAUAAUAAAACAUAUAAACUAUA